CCUGCAGGGCUUGAGCGCAAGGAGACAGCCUCAGGGCCCUUGCACAGAACAGGCGGCAGGGUGUGCCCGUGGGGCAGAUGGGGACUUGGGGACAAUGGUGGUGUGUGAGUCCAUACCUGGCUCCAGGAUUCAGGAGGCCCAUUUGCAUAUCCCAGGUGGGAACCUGUCUGGCCCCGCCUGACCCUGCUGGCCGGUGCAGGCCCCUUCAGUGAGGCCAAUUCUCCAAGGCUGCGGUCUUCUCCCAGGGUCAUGGGUGAAGGGGUUUGGAGGCUCCCUGCGUGGGUACUGGCCUGCUGGGGUACACACAAUGCUGCCAUAGCCAGUCUGCCCCUACACCCAGCCCGGGGCCACAUCUCAGGUCUCUCAGUCCUGAGGAGCCCGGUGCCCCACCCCUCACAUCCUCUCUCCCUGAGUCAGGGCCUGGGUCUCGUGAGCUGAGUGACUGAUACUUGGUGUCCUGGAUGAGGGCGUGGUGGAGAGGGGCCACAGCGGGUGUUUCCUGACCCUCUUCCAGGAAGGUGCUGCUGCCAGCCACCUGGUCUGCUUCCCAGAAAUUCUGUCUUGCAGGCUGUUGGGAGGAUCCCAGUACUUU
This 592-nucleotide long non-coding RNA is filed under the name Homo sapiens (human). RNAcentral describes it as "HSALNT0404895". The record is from RNAcentral. Lineage: Eukaryota; Metazoa; Chordata; Mammalia; Primates; Hominidae.